RNAcentral lists this long non-coding RNA (1281 nucleotides) under Panax ginseng (ginseng). Its description in RNAcentral is "long non-coding RNA (PGIN_LNC001836)". Lineage: Eukaryota; Viridiplantae; Streptophyta; Magnoliopsida; Apiales; Araliaceae. The record is from RNAcentral.
UUUCCUAUAAUUAAAAAUUGGUCAUUACAAAAUAUGAUGAAAAAAUUGAUUCUAGUAAUUGCCACAACUUUGACCGUGUUGAAAAUUAAUGAAAUAAUGAAUUCCUGUUUGUUUAUAUUUUAUCUACUUAAUUGCUUCUUUUUUUUUGAUACGUAGGGAAUGUGUUUGAGCCAAUGAUUGCGACGAAAAUGUCAAAAACAUUGUUCAAGAAAUCAAAAUUGAGGAACUAUUCUGCUGUUUUCCGGUGGUUUGGAUAAGAGUAAUGAAAAGAUUUUUAGACCGAUUUUUGGAAAGGUGAAUUUCAGUAAUUUAGACCAAGUAAUUUUGUUUUUCAAAAUUCUUAAUAUGAAUGGUAAUUCAAUAUAUAUUUAUGAUUAAGUAUUGGUUCUAUAUAUUGCUUGGUUUCUCUUGUUAAAUGAAAUUAUAUACAGAGGCGGAACUAGGGGGGACGGGGGGUCAUCUGCCUCCGGUAGCGACGGCGGUCCAGGCAUAACUAGGGGCUGGGGCUGGGGCUGGGAUUGGGGCGUGGGCGGGCGGCGGGCGGCGGGCGGCGGGGGCGGUGGGGGGGGGGGGGCGCCAGCCAACCACUGCUUCGGGCAUCACGGCAAUUUUCAAACAGUUUUCUUGCUUUAGCCAUUUGCUCUGCUAAUCAAUCUUCCAAGUCAGAAUCUUCAAGUUCAUCCUCAGAAUCUUCAAGUAGCGAGGAUGAAGGGAGAGAAUCAAGAAGAUCAAAAUCAAGGUCUAAGAGAAGGAAGAAAGAAAAAAAGCACAGAUCAAGAUCCAAGCACUCUAGCAGCGGGGAAGAGACUGACGGUCCUUUGCCACUUUUCAGAUUCUUUGGGAGUACAAAAAGCUGAUGUUUUCAAGGGGGGGUUUUUAUGUCCUCCAUCUAGUAUCUAACUAGAUUGUUUCUUGAUCUACUGUGAUGCUGGUUUUCGCAGUAUAUAUUGCUAGAUUGAUAUAAGGAUGGAAUAUUGUACGAAUGUUAUAUGUUUAUAUGUUUAGAUUUCAUGAAAUUAGAAUUUUUAAAGCUUGCAUACCAUGUGUUUGUAUAAAUGACAUAAAGAGGUUAAUUUGGUUAAAACAUGAAAAUUAACGGGUUCUCUCUGUAAAUUGAUGUACAUAUAUGAGUUAUAAGUUAGCCAUCUAUUCCUUUCGCUUCAAUUCCUUCAACUUCAUCUCGUCAACUUAGUUUUUCUUUGGAAGAGGAAUUUUUUUCGAUUUUACCAUCUCAAAUAUUGCCUCUCUAUCUUUCACAACACUUUCAUUUACAGUACUUUU